CCAGACUCCUACGGGAGGCAGCAGUGGGGAAUAUUGCACAAUGGGGGAAACCCUGAUGCAGCAACGCCGCGUGAGUGAAGAAGUCAUUCGUGAUGUAAAGCUCUAUCAGCAGGGAAGAAAAUGACGGUACCUGAGUAAGGAGCCCCGGCUAACUCCGUGCCAGCAGCCGCGGUAAUACGGAGGAUGCGAGCGUUAUCCGGAUUUAUUGGGUUUAAAGGGUGCGUAGGCGGACUGGAAAGUCAGCGGUAAAAUCGAGAGGCUCAACCUCUUUCCGCCGUUGAAACUGUCGGUCUUGGGUGGGCGAGAAGUAUGCGGAAUGCGUGGUGUAGCGGUGAAAUGCAUAGAUAUCACGCAGAACUCCGAUUGCGAAGGCAGCAUACCGGCGCCCGACUGACGCUGAGGCACGAAAGCGUGGGUAUCGAACAGGAUUAGAUACCCUCGUACU
RNAcentral lists this ribosomal RNA (445 nucleotides) under uncultured bacterium. RNAcentral's name for it is "partial 16S ribosomal RNA". It matches the Rfam family "Bacterial small subunit ribosomal RNA", at positions 331 to 794 of the family's 1533-position model. The record is from RNAcentral.